This is a non-coding RNA of Rhamnusium bicolor, 86 nucleotides long. Lineage: Eukaryota; Metazoa; Arthropoda; Insecta; Coleoptera; Cerambycidae. The record is from the annotation of a GenBank genome assembly.
GGCAUGGUAGCCGAGUGGUUAAAGCGCUUAUAGCUACUUACUCGGAAUCGAAGGUUGAUGGUUCGAUUCCAUCCUGGGACAAGUUA